AUUGAACGCUGGCGGAAUGCUUUACACAUGCAAGUCGAACGGCAGCACGGACUUCGGUCUGGUGGCGAGUGGCGAACGGGUGAGUAAUGUAUCGGAACGUGCCCAGUCGUGGGGGAUAACGUAGUGAAAAUUACGCUAAUACCGCAUACGAUCUAUGGAUGAAAGCGGGGGAUCGCAAGACCUCGCGCGAUUGGAACGGCCGAUAUCAGAUUAGGUAGUUGGUGGGGUAAAGGCCCACCAAGCCAACGAUCUGUAGCUGGUCUGAGAGGACGACCAGCCACACUGGAACUGAGACACGGUCCAGACUCCUACGGGAGGCAGCAGUGGGGAAUUUUGGACAAUGGGCGAAAGCCUGAUUCAGCCAUUCCGCGUGCAGGAUGAAGGCCCUCGGGUUGUAAACUGCUCUUGUACAGAACGAAAAGGUUUCUACUAAUACUAGGAGCUCAUGACGGUACUGUAAGAAUAAGCACCGGCUAACUACGUGCCAGCAGCCGCCGUAA
This 500-nucleotide ribosomal RNA is filed under the name uncultured bacterium. RNAcentral's name for it is "partial 16S ribosomal RNA". It matches the Rfam family "Bacterial small subunit ribosomal RNA", at positions 30 to 523 of the family's 1533-position model. The record is from RNAcentral.